AUUGAACGCUGGCGGCAGGCCUAACACAUGCAAGUCGAGCGGAUGAAGGGAGCUUGCUCCUGGAUUCAGCGGCGGACGGGUGAGUAAUGCCUAGGAAUCUGCCUGGUAGUGGGGGAUAACGUCCGGAAACGGGCGCUAAUACCGCAUACGUCCUGAGGGAGAAAGUGGGGGAUCUUCGGACCUCACGCUAUCAGAUGGGCCUAGGUCGGAUUAGCUAGUUGGUGGGGUAAAGGCCUACCAAGGCGACGAUCCGUAACUGGUCUGAGAGGAUGAUCAGUCACACUGGAACUGAGACACGGUCCAGACUCCUACGGGAGGCAGCAGUGGGGAAUAUUGGAUAAUGGGCGAAAGCCUGAUCCAGCCAUGCCGCGUGUGUGAAGAAGGUCUUCGGAUUGUAAAGCACUUUAAGUUGGGAGGAAGGGCAGUAAGUUAAUACCUUGCUGUUUUGACGUUACCAACAGAAUAAGCACCGGCUAACUUCGUG
RNAcentral lists this ribosomal RNA (484 nucleotides) under uncultured bacterium. Its description in RNAcentral is "partial 16S ribosomal RNA". It matches the Rfam family "Bacterial small subunit ribosomal RNA", at positions 30 to 507 of the family's 1533-position model. The record is from RNAcentral.